UUAGGGCUUUUUUGCGCUCUUUCGCUUCGAAAUUUUCCCAUCCCCCGCCCAAAAUUUUCUCAUCUUCCAACCAUUCCCUUUCUGUCCUCUGCAUCCUUCGUUUCGCUCUCAAAAACUGAUUUCCUUUCUCUCUCUAGGUUUAUGCUUCAACAUGGCGACUGAUGAAUACCUUGGAAGCAUAGGUUAGAGCUUUAGCUAGUGGGGUCAGUUUGCAAUCGGAAAGAAGCAAGUGGAAUCUGUACAUCAUUUCCAAGGCGUAAUCUACGUUCGGUGUUUAGCAUUAUCAAGGUUUGACGUCUAAACCGCAUUAUGUCUCGUGAUGGAGAAUCCUCUAGAAAGGGUGCUAAAAGAGCACGAAAGCAGUUGUUAGCAGUUAUAGCUGCCACAAUGAAUCAAGAAAAGGAGGGUGUGAACAUAUCAGAGUGCUGCAAUUCUCUUCAUACACCCUCUGCUGAAGGAAUUAGCCCUUCACCACUGUUUGACUUAGCUUCAAUAGGUGCUUCAGUGCAUCCAGAAAAUACAGGUGUGAACACAACAGAGGAGAGUUCCAAUUCUCCGGACACCACCUCUACUGAAGGGCUUAGUGCCCCUUUACCCAAUCCCACUGCUGGAGUUAGCCUUCCACCGAAUGAUUCCACAAGAAAUAAUCGUAAGAGAAAGGUCAGGGGCAAGUCAAGGUUAGAAAACAUUACCAAAGGAGAAGAGGGACCCCUUCCGAUUACAUUUAAUGAAAGAGGACAGCCAAUUGGGGAAUUUCCUGCUAAAUUUACUUCUUGUCUAGGGAUCCUAGCAAGAGAUUUAGUACCGGUGACAUUAGAAAAAUGGAAAGAUUUGUCAGAGGACAUCAGAGACCAGUUAUGGACUUCCAUACAGCAAAAUUUUAUAGUUGAUGAUUGGAACAAAAAAGUAACAUUUCAGAACAUCGGAAAUUAAUUUAUGGCAUGGUCACAAAUCGAAAAUAACAAAAGAAAUAAUUGCCCAAGGAGAAACUGCUGCAUCUCUUCUGAAGACGAAGAAUGUAAAAUCAAUGGAAGAGUGGCAACAAUUUGUUAAAGAACGAUGUUCUAAAGAUUUUAAGGAAAAAAGUAAAAAGUUUAAAGAACUGAGAUAGUGAGAUCUAAGCAGAAAAUCGUACACACAACGAGCUGUAAGGGUUACGCUCGGUUGGAGGAUGACAUGCGGAGAGAAAGUAAAACGCCCGGUGCUAUUAUAUUAUUGUUGUUGUGUAGCGGAGAGAAAGUAAAACGCCCGGUGCUAUUUCAAGAGUAGAUAUUUGGAUUAGAGGGCAUUUGAGGAAGGACGGUCAACCAGUAAAUGAAGCAGUGAGAGACACAAUGAAGAAGAUGCAAGAACAUAUCCAAACUGCCACUCCUCAGAAUACAAACUCGCUUCGGGUUGAUGUCGUCACAAAAGUACUGGGCCCCGAGCACCGAGGACGAGUUAGAGGACUUGGGUUUGGGGCAAUCCCUUCAAAAAUUGAUGUGCGUGUAAAACAACGUGGACAAGUACAAAGAAAUGAUGCAAAGUUUCAAGCAAUGACUCAACGGGUUGAUGACCUUCAAGCUGUAAUCGAUCAGUUAACAACCCGCUUGGAUGCAAAUGCAAGUGGUCUAUCUAAUGCCACCCCCAGUGUGCAGCCUUCAGAACACGUAGAAGGGGCACAAUGCAAAUUGUUGAAUUGGUGCGGGACAGGAGUUGUUGCUGUGGGGGAAAUUGAAUCAACGGAUCCCAGUGCAUGUGUGCAGGAUGUUCCUAUCGGACCCGAUUGUUGGAAAGUGUGGGUCAAUGUUGCAUCCACACCCGGUGUUCCUUUAUAUCGGCCGACACAAAAUUUCUUCUUCAUUGAAGAUGCUAUUGGGAAUACAAUUGCAUGGCCUAGCAAGUUUAUUAAAAUUGAUUAGUUGUACUUACCUUUGGAGCUAAUGGUUUUAAUGCAUGUGUGAUCUAGAUGUUGAUAUUUCCAGGCCAUUUUUGUGUGCUGUUCUUGUUAAAACGAAGCCUACACUUAAAAACUGUUAAGCGUGCAUUGUACUUGUAUAAGUCAUUUCUGUUUGACUUCUUGUACUUAUUUUUGGAGGUGAGAGAACGGGGUGAGUCGAAUCUGGCUCCCAAACGAGUCGGGAGAGGGCUUACCAACUGGGCUCAUUUUACCUGU
This is an RNA transcript of Cornus florida, 2155 nucleotides long. RefSeq lists it as uncharacterized. Lineage: Eukaryota; Viridiplantae; Streptophyta; Magnoliopsida; Cornales; Cornaceae. The record is from RefSeq and is a predicted model, not a curated record. The transcript is spliced from 8 exons.